UGAAUGUAACCUUUGGAUACAAAUGUAAAAAUGACUUUGUACUAUAAUCAAUUUAAUUUCAUUUGCCACUAUUUUUCAGCAACCUAGACACAAACAGGAUAACUAAGAGAGAGCGUUGGGAUAAGAUUUAUCCAUAUGGUUAAUGUAGAAAAAUAUUGUGGCAAAUUUGCUACGGUUGGCAAGAGAUUAGAUGAAGUAAUGGACCACAGAAGCAGAUAAUACAAGCUGGAAUGAGAAACCUGCCCUGGGAGUGUUCCUCCUAAAGGGAAACACUCAGAGGGCAAAUGAAUGCAACCAGGCUGGUAGUGUGGCGGAUAAGACAGAUUGAACUGAAAGUCCACAGAGAGCUUCCCAAAAC
RNAcentral lists this long non-coding RNA (358 nucleotides) under Equus caballus (horse). Its description in RNAcentral is "lncRNA (ENSECAG00000056716.1)". The record is from RNAcentral. Lineage: Eukaryota; Metazoa; Chordata; Mammalia; Perissodactyla; Equidae.